CUCUAGUGGCGGACGGGUGAGUAACACGUGAGAAUUUGCCUUUAGGAGGGGGAUAACAAUUGGAAACGAAUGCUAAUACCCCAUAUGCUUUCGAGUGAAAUGGAUUUAUAUUUAUCCGCCUAGAGAGAAGCUCGCGGCUGAUUAGCUUGUUGGUAAGGUAAGAGCUUACCAAGGCGACGAUCAGUAUCUGGUUUGAGAGGACGAUCAGACACACUGGAACUGAGACACGGUCCAGACUCCUACGGGAGGCAGCAGUGGGGAAUUUUCCGCAAUGGGCGAAAGCCUGACGGAGCAAUACCGCGUGAGGGAAGACUGCCUAUGGGUUGUAAACCUCUUUUUUCAGGGAGGAACAAAAUGACGUGUACCUGAAGAAUAAGCAUCGGCUAACUCCGUGCCAGCAGCCGCGGUAAGACGGAGGAUGCAAGUGUUAUCCGGAAUCACUGGGCGUAAGGCGUCUGUAGGUGGUUUAAUAAGUCAACUGUUAAAUCUUGUUGCUCAACUUCAAAAUCGCAGUCGAAACUAUUAGACUAGAGUAUAGUAGAGGUAAAGGGAAUUUCCAGUGGAGCGGUGAAAUGCGUAGAUAUUGGAAAGAACACCGAUGGCGAAAGCACUUUACUGGG
This 620-nucleotide ribosomal RNA is filed under the name uncultured eukaryote. RNAcentral describes it as "bacterial SSU rRNA". It matches the Rfam family "Bacterial small subunit ribosomal RNA", at positions 90 to 733 of the family's 1533-position model. The record is from RNAcentral.